RNAcentral lists this ribosomal RNA (253 nucleotides) under uncultured bacterium. RNAcentral describes it as "partial 16S ribosomal RNA". It matches the Rfam family "Bacterial small subunit ribosomal RNA", at positions 524 to 776 of the family's 1533-position model. The record is from RNAcentral.
UACGUAGGGGCCUAGCGUUGUCCGGAUUUAUUGGGCGUAAAGAGCUCGUAGGCGGUUGUUUAUGUUUGGUGUGAAAUCUCCCGGCUUAACCGGGAGGGUGCGCCGAAUACUGAGGGACUAGAGUGCGGGAGAGGAAAGUGGAAUUCCUGGUGUAGCGGUGAAAUGCGUAGAUAUCAGGAGGAACACCGGUGGUGUAGACGGCUUUCUGGACCGUAACUGACGCUGAGACACGAAAGCGUGGGUAGCAAACAGG